Molecule: ribosomal RNA, 234 nt
Filed under: uncultured bacterium
Lineage: Bacteria
Description: partial 16S ribosomal RNA
Rfam family: Bacterial small subunit ribosomal RNA
Source: RNAcentral
GAUAUGGCUCAGGAUGAACGCUGGCGGCGUGCCUAAUACAUGCAAGUCGAACGCGAGCACUUGUGCUCGAGUGGCGAACGGGUGAGUAAUACAUAAGUAACCUGCCCUAGACAGGGGGAUAACUAUUGGAAACGAUAGCUAAGACCGCAUAGGUACGGACACUGCAUGGUGACCGUAUUAAAAGUGCCUCAAAGCACUGGUAGAGGAUGGACUUAUGGCGCAUUAGCUGGUUGG